UAGUCCACGCCGUAAACGAUGAGAACUAGGUGUAGCGGGUAUUGACCCCUGCUGUGCCGAAGUUAACGCAUUAAGUUCUCCGCCUGGGGAGUACGGCCGCAAGGCUAAAACUCAAAGGAAUUGACGGGGACCCGCACAAGCGGUGGAGCAUGUGGUUUAAUUCGACGCAACGCGAAGAACCUUACCUGGGUUUGACAUCCCGAUCGUACUUUCUGGAAACAGUUAGGUCAGCUUGGCUGGAUCGGUGACAGGUGCUGCAUGGCUGUCGUCAGCUCGUGUCGUGAGAUGUUGGGUUAAGUCCCGCAACGAGCGCAACCCUUGUCCUUAGUUGCCAUCAUUUAGUUGGGCACUCUAGGGAGACUGCCGGUGUUAAGCCGGAGGAAGGUGGGGAUGACGUCAAGUCCUCAUGGCCCUUAUGACCGGGGCUACACACGUGCUACAAUGGUACGGACAAAGUGACGCUACACUGUGAAGUCAAGCAAAUCACAAAACCGUAUCUCAGUUCGGAUUG
This 511-nucleotide ribosomal RNA is filed under the name uncultured bacterium. RNAcentral's name for it is "bacterial SSU rRNA". It matches the Rfam family "Bacterial small subunit ribosomal RNA", at positions 791 to 1300 of the family's 1533-position model. The record is from RNAcentral.